This is a ribosomal RNA of Helobdella robusta, 188 nucleotides long. The record is from Rfam. Lineage: Eukaryota; Metazoa; Annelida; Clitellata; Rhynchobdellida; Glossiphoniidae.
GUCUACGGCCAUAUCACGUUGAAAACACCAGUUUUCGUCCGAUCACUGUAAACAUUUAAAUUAAAAGAAACAACCGUGUUAAGUUUUUCAUCUUAUUUUCAUUCUCGUCCGAUCACCGAAGUUAAUCAACUCGAGCCCGGUUAGUACUUGGAUGGGUGACCGCCUGGGAAUACCGGGUGCUGUAGGCU